GACUACCGGGGUAUCUAAUCCUGUUUGCUACCCACGCUUUCGCACCUCAGCGUCAGUCAUGAUCCAGGGGGCCGCCUUCGCCACCGGUGUUCCUCCAGAUAUCUACGCAUUUCACCGCUACACCUGGAAUUCCACCCCCCUCUAUCAGACUCGAGCGCGCUAGUAUCAAAUGCCAUUCCCAGGUUGAGCCCAGGGGUUUCACAUCUGACUUAACGGGCCGCCUACGUGCGCUUUACGCCCAGUGAUUCCGAUUAACGCUUGCACCCUCCGUAUUACCGCGGCUGCUGGCACGGAGUUAGCCGGUGCUUCUUCUGUGGGUAACGUCAGUGAUCCGGGGUAUUGGCCCGGACCCGUUCUUCCCCACUGAAAGUGCUUUACAACCCGCAGGCCUUCUUCACACACGCGGCAUUGCUGGAUCAGGCUUGCGCCCAUUGUCCAAUAUUCCCCACUGCAGCCCCCCGUAGG
This 465-nucleotide ribosomal RNA is filed under the name uncultured Chromatiaceae bacterium. RNAcentral's name for it is "partial 16S ribosomal RNA". The record is from RNAcentral. Lineage: Bacteria; Pseudomonadati; Pseudomonadota; Gammaproteobacteria; Chromatiales; Chromatiaceae.